CAUCUACUCCCUCCGGCCCAAAAUUCUUGUGUUAGAUUUGUUUACAAAUGGAUGUAUCUAAAUACUAAAAUGUGACUAGUUACAUUCAUAUCUACACGAAUGUAAGACAAGAAUUUUGUGACGGAGGGAGUAGUAC
Hordeum vulgare subsp. vulgare (domesticated barley) is the source of this 136-nucleotide non-coding RNA. Lineage: Eukaryota; Viridiplantae; Streptophyta; Magnoliopsida; Poales; Poaceae. The record is from Rfam.